UUAUUUUGAUUAUACAUGUCAAUGAGUGGAAAAAGAUAUUUCUGAGAAACAGGGUGAUGCCCAAUUGAAAAAGGAGGGCGAGAAUAAGAAAGCAAAAACCAUCGUGACAUGGCACGACAUCGAAUACGAAGGAUAAAAAAAAAAAACAAUGCGAAGGUGCAAGUGUACAAUUUCAACAAGCUGAGAAGGAGUGGAAGGAUGUGUUAUUUGGUCCACAACCAAAAGUAGAUUCCCCAGGAACUAUCGAGGACAACUCAAUUGAA
This 263-nucleotide long non-coding RNA is filed under the name Medicago truncatula (barrel medic). RNAcentral describes it as "lncRNA gene29101". Lineage: Eukaryota; Viridiplantae; Streptophyta; Magnoliopsida; Fabales; Fabaceae. The record is from RNAcentral.